RNAcentral lists this ribosomal RNA (1107 nucleotides) under Salmonella enterica subsp. enterica serovar Indiana. Its description in RNAcentral is "partial 23S ribosomal RNA". It matches the Rfam family "Bacterial large subunit ribosomal RNA", at positions 161 to 1242 of the family's 2925-position model. Lineage: Bacteria; Pseudomonadati; Pseudomonadota; Gammaproteobacteria; Enterobacterales; Enterobacteriaceae. The record is from RNAcentral.
AAUCCAUAGGUUAAUGAGGCGAACCGGGGGAACUGAAACAUCUAAGUACCCCGAGGAAAAGAAAUCAACCGAGAUUCCCCCAGUAGCGGCGAGCGAACGGGGAGGAGCCCAGAGCCUGAAUCAGCAUGUGUGUUAGUGGAAGCGUCUGGAAAGGCGCGCGAUACAGGGUGACAGCCCCGUACACAAAAGCGCAUGUGCUGUGAGCUCGAUGAGUAGGGCGGGACACGUGGUAUCCUGUCUGAAUAUGGGGGGACCAUCCUCCAAGGCUAAAUACUCCUGACUGACCGAUAGUGAACCAGUACCGUGAGGGAAAGGCGAAAAGAACCCCGGCGAGGGGAGUGAAAAAGAACCUGAAACCGUGUACGUACAAGCAGUGGGAGCACCCUUCGGGGUGUGACUGCGUACCUUUUGUAUAAUGGGUCAGCGACUUAUAUUCUGUAGCAAGGUUAACCGAAUAGGGGAGCCGGAGGGAAACCGAGUCUUAAUUGGGCGUUAAGUUGCAGGGUAUAGACCCGAAACCCGGUGAUCUAGCCAUGGGCAGGUUGAAGGUUGGGUAACACUAACUGGAGGACCGAACCGACUAAUGUUGAAAAAUUAGCGGAUGACCUGUGGCUGGGGGUGAAAGGCCAAUCAAACCGGGAGAUAGCUGGUUCUCCCCGAAAGCUAUUUAGGUAGCGCCUCGUGAAUUCAUCUCCGGGGGUAGAGCACUGUUUCGGCUAGGGGGCCAUCCCGGCUUACCAACCCGAUGCAAACUGCGAAUACCGGAGAAUGUUAUCACGGGAGACACACGGCGGGUGCUAACGUCCGUCGUGAAGAGGGAAACAACCCAGACCGCCAGCUAAGGUCCCAAAGUCAUGGUUAAGUGGGAAACGAUGUGGGAAGGCCCAGACAGCCAGGAUGUUGGCUUAGAAGCAGCCAUCAUUUAAAGAAAGCGUAAUAGCUCACUGGUCGAGUCGGCCUGCGCGGAAGAUGUAACGGGGCUAAACCAUGCACCGAAGCUGCGGCAGCGAACGUAUCACCCAAGACAACUUUGCGGAGUUGACGAUUGACGGAGCGAAGCGACGUCAAAGCGUUCAUUAAAGUCGAGUUGGCUUAGGGAUACGUUCG